RNAcentral lists this long non-coding RNA (211 nucleotides) under Elaeis guineensis (African oil palm). RNAcentral describes it as "long non-coding RNA (EGUI_LNC031526)". Lineage: Eukaryota; Viridiplantae; Streptophyta; Magnoliopsida; Arecales; Arecaceae. The record is from RNAcentral.
GAAUCGAUUUAUUGGGUUACGAUAAUCAUUUGACGAGCAGAGGCCGCACUCAUCCUAUUAACUGCCUUGGAGCAAUUUGUUUAAGACCCUUACGGCACUGAUAAAAAUAAACUUAAGAAAACUCUAAGCAAUGACCAUAAAGAUACCAAUAUUGGGCUCAUUGACACCGAAAGAUAUGCAAACUCUUAUAAUUGAUCCAACCAAUAUAGCC